Long non-coding RNA from Haliotis rubra (blacklip abalone), 499 nucleotides. RefSeq lists it as uncharacterized. Lineage: Eukaryota; Metazoa; Mollusca; Gastropoda; Lepetellida; Haliotidae. The record is from RefSeq and is a predicted model, not a curated record. The transcript is spliced from 3 exons.
ACAAUAUAGGAUUAUCCACAACAUUUUACCAAACAAAUGUACUAUAAGUACUGAACUUAGGUGGUUACAAUAUAGGAUUAUUCACAACAUUUUACCAAACAAAUGUACUAUAAGUACUGAACUUACGUGGUUACAAUAUAGGAUUAUCUACAACAUUUUACCAAACAAAUGUACUAUAAGUACUGCACUUACGUGGUUACAAUAUAGGAUUAUCCACAACAUUUUACCAAACAAAUGUACUAUAAGUACUGAACUUAGGUGGUUACAAUAUAGGAUUAUCCACAACAUCAUCCCAAACAAAUGUACUAUAAGUACUGAACUUAGGUGGUUACAAUAUAGGAUUAUCCACAACAUUAUCCCAAACAAAUAUACUAUAAGUACUGAACUUAGGUGGUUACAAUAUAGGAUUAUCCACAACAUCAUCCCAAACAAAUGUACUAUAAGUACUGAACUUAGGUGGUUACAAUAUAGGAUUAUCCACAACAUUAUCCCAAACAAA